GGCGUUAUAGCUCAGUGGUGGAGUGUGUGCUUAGAAUGCACAAGGCCCUGGGUUCAAUCCCCAGUACCUCCA
Molecule: transfer RNA, 72 nt
Filed under: Camelus bactrianus (Bactrian camel)
Lineage: Eukaryota; Metazoa; Chordata; Mammalia; Artiodactyla; Camelidae
Also listed under: 2 other names
Rfam family: tRNA
About the family: Transfer RNA (tRNA) molecules are approximately 80 nucleotides in length.
Source: Rfam by way of RNAcentral